RNAcentral lists this ribosomal RNA (470 nucleotides) under uncultured bacterium. Its description in RNAcentral is "bacterial SSU rRNA". It matches the Rfam family "Bacterial small subunit ribosomal RNA", at positions 335 to 796 of the family's 1533-position model. The record is from RNAcentral.
UUGCCUACGGGAGGCAGCAGUGGGGAAUAUUGGACAAUGGGCGCAAGCCUGAUCCAGCCAUGCCGCGUGUGUGAAGAAGGCCUUUUGGUUGUAAAGCACUUUAAGCGAGGAGGAGGCUACUUGGAUUAAUACUCUAGGAUAGUGGACGUUACUCGCAGAAUAAGCACCGGCUAACUCUGUGCCAGCAGCCGCGGUAAUACAGAGGGUGCGAGCGUUAAUCGGAUUUACUGGGCGUAAAGCGUGCGUAGGCGGCUUUUUAAGUCGGAUGUGAAAUCCCUGAGCUUAACUUAGGAAUUGCAUUCGAUACUGGGAAGCUAGAGUAUGGGAGAGGAUGGUAGAAUUCCAGGUGUAGCGGUGAAAUGCGUAGAGAUCUGGAGGAAUACCGAUGGCGAAGGCAGCCAUCUGGCCUAAUACUGACGCUGAGGUACGAAAGCAUGGGGAGCAAACAGGAUUAGAUACCCCGGUAGUCG